UAACAUUUAACUUAAGUCGCAAUAAAUCUCUCUAAUUUGAAAAUCCAGGAUGAAUAAUUUGCAUUUAUCUCCUUAAGUUGUAACAGACAGAAAUAGUCUCUGAUUAGAAUGAAUAUGCAUCAAACAAGUAUGUAUCUUUGGCAAACUUAUACAAAAUCCUUUCUGAAAUAGAAUAUUAUUUUUUAGUUUAACAAACAUAGAACAAA
Molecule: unclassified non-coding RNA, 206 nt
Filed under: Hevea brasiliensis (rubber tree)
Lineage: Eukaryota; Viridiplantae; Streptophyta; Magnoliopsida; Malpighiales; Euphorbiaceae
Source: RNAcentral